GGCUGGUCUGAUGGUAGUGGAUUAUCAGAACUUACUAACAUUAGUGUCACUAAAGUUGAUAUACAACCGCCAACUGCUAAAUUUGACUGGCUUAAA
Molecule: Y RNA, 96 nt
Filed under: Piliocolobus tephrosceles (Ugandan red Colobus)
Lineage: Eukaryota; Metazoa; Chordata; Mammalia; Primates; Cercopithecidae
Description: Y RNA (ENSPTEG00000021695.1)
Rfam family: Y RNA
About the family: Y RNAs are components of the Ro ribonucleoprotein particle (Ro RNP), in association with Ro60 and La proteins. The Y RNAs and Ro60 and La proteins are well conserved, but the function of the Ro RNP is not known.
Source: Rfam by way of RNAcentral